GACGAACGCUGGCGGCGUGCCUAAUACAUGCGAGUUGAGCGCUGAAGGUUGGUACUUGUACCAACUGGAUGAGCAGCGAACGGGUGAGUAACGCGUGGGGAAUCUGCCUUUGAGCGGGGGACAACAUUUGGAAACGAAUGCUAAUACCGCAUAAAAACUUUAAACACAAGUUUUAAGUUUGAAAGAUGCAAUUGCAUCACUCAAAGAUGAUCCCGCGUUGUAUUAGCUAGUUGGUGAGGUAAAGGCUCACCAAGGCGAUGAUACAUAGCCGACCUGAGAGGGUGAUCGGCCACAUUGGGACUGAGACACGGCCCAAACUCCUACGGGAGGCAGCAGUAGGGAAUCUUCGGCAAUGGACGAAAGUCUGACCGAGCAACGCCGCGUGAGUGAAGAAGGUUUUCGGAUUGUAAAACUCUGUUGGUAGAGAAGAACGUUGGUGAGAGUGGAAAGCUCAUCAAGUGACGGUAACUACCCAGAAAGGGACGGCUAACUACGUG
This 497-nucleotide ribosomal RNA is filed under the name uncultured bacterium. RNAcentral describes it as "partial 16S ribosomal RNA". It matches the Rfam family "Bacterial small subunit ribosomal RNA", at positions 28 to 507 of the family's 1533-position model. The record is from RNAcentral.